CCCUCCACUUGGUUAUAAAUUAAUGAAAGUUCAGGAAUCAAAGGGAUGAAAUCUCCUCACCACAUGUCCUGGCGGUACUGUUUGGUGUAGCGGGGAGGCUCUGCUAGGGAACAUCCACAGUCAUUAAGUGCCCUCGGGGGCUACCCCUUCUCCUAUCUUACUGCCCCUGCCAAACUUGGUUAAAAUUGGCCCAUGGGAUGCAGCUUUAUGAAAAACAGGGACAAAAACAGGCAGAAAGAUUUCAUAACCGCCUUCUCUAGAAAGACAUGUUAAAAGUUAGGCAAUAGACAGCAAAGCACGUACCACCCUCCCCGGGGGUGAUGCAACAGAGCAGAGAACAAUGGCCUUGUUUAAUAGCUCUGGAGGGUGGGCCCGCCUGCAGAGGAGGGUUCCAAGCAGCCACCACUCAGCUCUAAGUCUGAAAAACUCAGGAUCCCCAACGGCCUCCUUGUCGCUCUACCUACGUGGCGCAGGAAGAAUAAUUUUUCUUAAAAGUUGCUAUCACAUCGCUCCGGACAUUGAAAGGCCCCAGUGGCUCUCUCUCACGGCUCGCGUCCGAUCAAAACCCCCGCCUGAGGGACUCCCAGACCUUCCAUCGACAGCUCCCUCAAUCCAGUGGCCCGUUUCCCCUUGGCAUCCCAGUUUGGACUCUCGGCUCUGCUUGCCGUCCGCUGCGCACUAUUCUUCCGCUUCUUCAUCAUUCACACCGGACUGCCCCUUCCCCCGAAGAAUGUACCCCUGCCUUAUUUCAAAUUUCCCAAACCAUGAGCUUCUUCUCUUUCAAAGCCACAUCAAAACUCUCACCUCCUGCAUUAGCCCUCCCUGUUUCUGCCUUUAGCCGUGCCAUCAUUGGCCGUUAUCCUCCCAUCACGCCUACUGCGUUGGGCAGUAAAUUCACUCCAGGUACCUUAGCUUGGAAUCCUGUUUUAGUUGAUAGACUAUACCUCCUCAGAAUGUCAAUUCUUCAUGGGCUCUGCCCAAAGCAGUGGCUCAGUAAAUACUGGUGGUGAUGAGGAUGAGGUUGAUGAUGAUGAUCAUGAUACCUUCUGUAGCCCAUUUCUGUGAAAAAAGGGCAGUCCGGCCCUAUGUAUGGGCAGCACAGAGGCCUUGGAAGGAAGGGUAUGAACUGAUUCUAACUGCACCUCUAGUUCACGGGGUGACUGCAAUAUGAUGUUCGGCAAGUGGCCAGGGCCACGGGAUUGAAAAACAUUUCCAAAAAAGGAUUUUGUUGAAUUUUGUUAGGUUGAUUUUCAACUGUGGUGCCUCUGUCUUGGGCUAGCUGUUCUGAGGUCCCAUUUUUAAUCAAGUUGCUUUUGACAAUUUGCUGAAACCGUACAAAAGGACAGAUAGAUUUGAGCUCAAGUAUUUUGUAUACUUCCUCUGUCUAAAGGGAGAUAUUAAAGACACCAAUGGCAGUUUUUUUACUUACUCUCCGAAACACCCCUUGAUUUUCUGCCUUUUCAUAAUUUUUGCCCCCUCUCUCUCUUUUUCUUGGACAUUCUGUCUAUUUUUCAGAUGUUUUUCUUUUAUCUCCCCUUGUUACAUAUCCUUUUCCUCUCUUCAGCAGGAUGGUGAACAGCAGAAAGUAUCAGCAGGAUCAAGGAGGGUUUGGUUAAAUUCAAGAACCAGAGAAAUGGUUUGCGGGGAAGUUGAACCUUCCUUCAGGAUGCCAACUAGAUGCACCUGCCAUGCCCUAUUUGUGAAAGCGACAGAGCCCCUGAAAGAGGAGGGCCUCAGCUCCAAGACUCAGGGUUUCACACUUGAAGAGGCUCCAUCCUGAUCUAGGCUCAAUAUAACCAGUUUGGGGAAACUAACCUGCGAAAGAAACUCAUUGAGGAAUACAUCACACCCUAAAGAUACCAGCAUUGGACUUCCAAACUCCAGAAAUACCUCCUUCUUGCCUGUGAAAGAAGACACACAUGCUACCAAAGAGAAUGAGAAGCUCCUGCAAUGGGAGCCUGAUCUACUAUUGGGUUUUUUUUAUGGUAUUUGUUAAGCACUUACUAUGUGCCAGGAAUUUAAUUAAGCAUUGGGUUAGU
Ornithorhynchus anatinus (platypus) is the source of this 2039-nucleotide long non-coding RNA. RefSeq lists it as uncharacterized. The record is from RefSeq and is a predicted model, not a curated record. Lineage: Eukaryota; Metazoa; Chordata; Mammalia; Monotremata; Ornithorhynchidae. The transcript is spliced from 3 exons.